UUCUGGUUGAUCCUGCCGGAGGUUACUGCUAUCGGUGUUCGCCUAAGCCAUGCGAGUCAUAUGUUCUUCGUGAACAUGGCGUACUGCUCAGUAACACGUGGAUAACCUGCCCUUGGGUCUGGGAUAACCCCGGGAAACUGGGGAUAAUACCGGAUAACGCAUAUAUGCUGGAAUGCUUUAUGCGUAAAAUGGAUUCGUCUGCCCAAGGAUGGGUCUGCGGCCUAUCAGGUAGUAGUGGGUGUAAUGUACCUACUAGCCUACAACGGGUACGGGUUGUGAGAGCAAGAGCCCGGAGAUGGAUUCUGAGACAUGAAUCCAGGCCCUACGGGGCGCAGCAGGCGCGAAAACUUUACAAUGCGGGAAACCGUGAUAAGGGGACACCGAGUGCCAGCAUCAUAUGCUGGCUGUCCAGAUGUGUAAAAUACAUCUGUUAGCAAGGGCCGGGCAAGACCGGUGCCAGCCGCCGCGGUAACACCGGCGGCCCGAGUGGUGAUCGUGAUUAUUGGGUCUAAAGGGUCCGUAGCCGGUUUGGUCAGUCCUCCGGGAAAUCUGAUGGCUCAACCAUUAGGCUUUCGGGGGAUACUGCCAGGCUUGGAACCGGGAGAGGUAAGAGGUACUACAGGGGUAGGAGUGAAAUCUUGUAAUCCCUGUGAGACCACCUGUGGCGAAGGCGUCUUACCAGAACGGGUUCGACGGUGAGGGACGAAAGCUGGGGGCACGAACCGGAUUAGAUACCCGGGUAGUCCCAGCCGUAAACGAUGCUCGCUAGGUGUCAGGCAUGGCGCGACCGUGUCUGGUGCCGCAGGGAAGCCGUGAAGCGAGCCACCUGGGAAGUACGGCCGCAAGGCUGAAACUUAAAGGAAUUGGCGGG
This 871-nucleotide ribosomal RNA is filed under the name uncultured archaeon. Its description in RNAcentral is "bacterial SSU rRNA". It matches the Rfam family "Archaeal small subunit ribosomal RNA", at positions 1 to 872 of the family's 1478-position model. The record is from RNAcentral.